UGGGGAAUAUUGAACAAUGGGCGCAAGCCUGAUGCAGCCAUGCCGCGUGUAUGAAGAAGGCCUUCGGGUUGUAAAGUACUUUCAGCGGGGAGGAAGGUGUUGAGGCUAAUAACCUCAGCAAUUGACGUUACCCGCAGAAGAAGCACCGGCUAACUCCGUGCCAGCAGCCGCGGUAAUACGGAGGGUGCAAGCGUUAAUCGGAAUUACUGGGCGUAAAGCGCACGCAGGCGGUCUGUCAAGUCGGAUGUGAAAUCCCCGGGCUCAACCUGGGAACUGCAUUCGAAACUGGCAGGCUAGAGUCUUGUAGAGGGGGGUAGAAUUCCAGGUGUAGCGGUGAAAUGCGUAGAGAUCUGGAGGAAUACCGGUGGCGAAGGCGGCCCCCUGGACAAAGACUGACGCUCAGGUGCGAAAGCGUGGGGAGCAAACA
This 427-nucleotide ribosomal RNA is filed under the name uncultured bacterium. RNAcentral's name for it is "partial 16S ribosomal RNA". It matches the Rfam family "Bacterial small subunit ribosomal RNA", at positions 355 to 774 of the family's 1533-position model. The record is from RNAcentral.